AGGGUUCGAUCAUGGCUCAGGACGAACGCUGGCGGUGCGCCUUAUGCAUGCAAGUCGAGCGAAGCUUUUCAGUAGUUUACUACAGAAAAUGACUGAGCGGCGAACGGGUGAGUAACGCGUGAGCAAUCUACCUUAGCUACAGGGAUAGCCCGAGGAAACUCGGAUUAAUACCUGAUAUUCUUUACAUUUCGCAUGAAAUCAAAAGGAAAGGUCAGCCGAACUAAGAUGAGCUCGCGUUCUAUCAGCUAGUUGGUGAGGUAAAAGCUCACCAAGGCAACGACGGAUAGCUGGUCUGAGAGGACGAUCAGCCACACUGGGACUGAGACACGGCCCAGACUCCUACGGGAGGCUGCAGCAGGGAAUAUUGCGCAAUGAGCGAAAGCUUGACGCAGCGACACCGCGUGUGGGAUGACGGAUCUAGGUUUGUAAACCACUUUCAGGAGGGAAGAAAAUGACGGUACCUCCACAAGAAGCCCCGGCCAACUACGUGCCAGCCGCCGCGGUAAUAC
RNAcentral lists this ribosomal RNA (509 nucleotides) under uncultured bacterium. RNAcentral's name for it is "bacterial SSU rRNA". It matches the Rfam family "Bacterial small subunit ribosomal RNA", at positions 8 to 526 of the family's 1533-position model. The record is from RNAcentral.